CCUACGGGCGGCAGCAGUGGGGAAUAUUGCACAAUGGGCGCAAGCCUGAUGCAGCCAUGCCGCUUGUAUGUAGAAGGCCUUCGGGUUGUAUAGUACUUUCAGUCGUGAGUAAGGUGUUAAGGUUAAUACCUUAGCAAUUGACGUUAGCGACAGAAGAAGGAACGGCUAACUCCGUGCCAGCAGCCGUGGUAAUACGGAGGGUGCGGACUGUAAUCGGAAUUACUGGGCGGAAAGGGUAAGAAGGGGGAAAAGAAAGAAGGAAGAGAAAAAACGGGGCUUAACAAGAGAAUGGCAUACAAGACAGGUUAGGUAGAGUCUAGUAGAGGGGGGUAGAAUUCCAUGUGUAGCGGUGAAAUGCGAAGAGAAGAGGAGGAAUAGCGGAGGCGAAGGCGGACACCUGGACAAAGAAUGACGCACAGGUGCGAAAGCGUGGGGAGGAAACAGGAUUAGAUAACGUGGAAGUC
Molecule: ribosomal RNA, 464 nt
Filed under: uncultured Arsenophonus sp.
Lineage: Bacteria; Pseudomonadati; Pseudomonadota; Gammaproteobacteria; Enterobacterales; Morganellaceae
Description: bacterial SSU rRNA
Rfam family: Bacterial small subunit ribosomal RNA
Source: RNAcentral